AUUGAACGCUGGCGGCAUGCCUAACACAUGCAAGUCGAACGGCAGCGCGGGGGCAACCCUGGCGGCGAGUGGCGGACGGGUGCGGCAUACAUCGGAAUCUACCUUCUGGUGGGGGAUAACCAGACGAAAGGCUGGCUAAUACCGCAUAAGACCGCGAGGUGAAAGCGGGGGACCGAACGGCCUCGCGCGAGAAGCAGAGCCGAUGUCGGAUUAGCUAGUUGGCGGGGUAAUGGCCCACCAAGGCGCCGAUCCGUCGCUGGUCUGAGAGGAUGAUCAGCCACACUGGGACUGAGACACGGCCCAGACUCCUACGGGAGGCAGCAGUGGGGAAUAUUGGACAAUGGGCGCAAGCCUGAUCCAGCAAUGCCGCGUGUGUGAAGAAGGCCUUCGGGUUGUAAAGCACUUUUAUCGGGAACGAAAAGCGAUCGGCGAAUACCCGGUCGUGCUGACGGUACCCGAGGAAUAAGCACCGGCUAACUUCGUGCCAGCCGCCGCCGUAAAAC
This 503-nucleotide ribosomal RNA is filed under the name uncultured bacterium. RNAcentral's name for it is "bacterial SSU rRNA". It matches the Rfam family "Bacterial small subunit ribosomal RNA", at positions 29 to 526 of the family's 1533-position model. The record is from RNAcentral.